GGCGGCGUGCCUAAUACAUGCGAGUCGAGCGAAGUUUUUCUGGUGCUUGCACUAGAUAAACUUAGCGGCGAACGGGUGAGUAACACGUAAAGAACCUGCCUCAUAGACUGGGACAACUAUUGGAAACGAUAGCUAAUACCGGAUAACAGUAUUUCUCGCAUGAGAGAUAUUUAAAAGUUGGUUAUGCUAACACUAUGAGAUGGCUUUGCGGUGCAUUAGCUAGUUGGUGGGGUAAAGGCCCACCAAGGCGACGAUGCAUAGCCGACCUGAGAGGGUGAUCGGCCACACUGGGACUGAGACACGGCCCAGACUCCUACGGGAGGCAGCAGUAGGGAAUCUUCCGCAAUGGGCGAAAGCCUGACGGAGCAACGCCGCGUGAGUGAAGAAGGAUUUCGGUUCGUAAAGCUCUGUUGUUAGGGAAGAAUGGAUAUGUAGCAACUAUACAUAUAAGAGACGGUACCUAACCAGAAAGCCACGGCA
RNAcentral lists this ribosomal RNA (480 nucleotides) under Gemella morbillorum. RNAcentral describes it as "bacterial SSU rRNA". It matches the Rfam family "Bacterial small subunit ribosomal RNA", at positions 38 to 498 of the family's 1533-position model. The record is from RNAcentral. Lineage: Bacteria; Bacillati; Bacillota; Bacilli; Caryophanales; Gemellaceae.